Molecule: ribosomal RNA, 253 nt
Filed under: uncultured bacterium
Lineage: Bacteria
Description: partial 16S ribosomal RNA
Rfam family: Bacterial small subunit ribosomal RNA
Source: RNAcentral
UACGUAGGUGGCGAGCGUUGUCCGGAUUUACUGGGCGUAAAGGGAGCGUAGGCGGACUUUUAAGUGAGAUGUGAAAUACUCGGGCUCAACUUGAGUGCUGCAUUUCAAACUGGAAGUCUAGAGUGCAGGAGAGGAGAAUGGAAUUCCUGGUGUAGCGGUGAAAUGCGUAGAGAUUAGGAAGAACACCAGUGGCGAAGGCGAUUCUCUGGACUGUAACUGACGCUGAGGCUCGAAAGUGUGGGGAGCAAACAGG